This 271-nucleotide unclassified non-coding RNA is filed under the name Archaeospora sp. Its description in RNAcentral is "partial contains 5.8S ribosomal RNA and internal transcribed spacer 2". The stretch from base 1 to 71 matches the Rfam family "5.8S ribosomal RNA", at positions 84 to 154 of the family's 154-position model. Lineage: Eukaryota; Fungi; Glomeromycota; Glomeromycetes; Archaeosporales; Archaeosporaceae. The record is from RNAcentral.
GUGAAUCAUCGAAUUUUUGAACGCAUAUUGCACCAUCUGGUAUUCCGGAGAGUAUGCCUAUUUGAGGGUCAUUUGAAAUAAUAUAAAUUUCGAGAUUUUCUUGAAAUCAAAAAUGGGUCGGUCCAGCUUUCGUGUUUUGGUCGCCUACUAUGCAAGACAAGCUCAUUUCUUGGGUUGCUUGAUACUUUCAGUUACCUCGUGACUUCACAAGAAAUCUUUUAGCGUGUUAAGAAUUUUGCAAGUAUUAAACUUCAUUUACCUCCAUCUCAAU